RNAcentral lists this ribosomal RNA (653 nucleotides) under Clostridioides difficile. RNAcentral's name for it is "bacterial LSU rRNA". It matches the Rfam family "Bacterial large subunit ribosomal RNA", at positions 662 to 1323 of the family's 2925-position model. Lineage: Bacteria; Bacillati; Bacillota; Clostridia; Peptostreptococcales; Peptostreptococcaceae. The record is from RNAcentral.
GGAGCCGUAGCGAAAGCGAGUUUUAACUGAGCGUUCAGUUACUUGACGUAGACCCGAAACCGGGCGACCUACCCAUGAGCAGGAUGAAGCGAAAGGAAAAUUUCGUGGAGGUCCGAACCCACGAGCGUUGAAAAGCUCGGGGAUGACUUGUGGGUAGCGGUGAAAUUCCAAUCGAGCCCGGAGAUAGCUGGUUCUCCCCGAAAUAGCUUUAGGGCUAGCCUCAAGGUGAGAGAUACGGAGGUAGAGCACUGAAUGUCCUAGGGGGUAUUGCACCUACCGAAGACUAUCAAACUCCGAAUGCCGUCAUCUUAUACUUGGGAGUCAGACUGUGGGUGAUAAGAUUCAUAGUCGAAAGGGCAACAGCCCAGAUCGUCAGCUAAGGUCCCUAAAUGUAAGUUAAGUGGUAAAGGAUGUGGGAUUGCACAGACAACCAGGAUGUUGGCUUAGAAGCAGCCACUCAUUCAAAGAGUGCGUAAUAGCUCACUGGUCGAGUGAUCCUGCGCCGAAGAUUUCCGGGGCUAAAACUUACUACCGAAGCUACGGCAUCAGUAAUGAUGGGUAGGGGAGCUUCCCAUACGGGUUGAAGCAUGACCGUAAGGACAUGUGGACAGUAUGGGAGUGAGAAUGUUGGCAUGAGUAGCGAGAUGUGGGUG